UCUCCGUUGGUGAACCAGCGGAGGGAUCAUUACCGAGUGAGGGUCCUCGCGGCCCGACCUCCAACCCCCUGUCUUCCGACUCUGUUGCCUCGGGGGCGACCCGGCCUUCGGGCGUCGGGGCCCCCGGUGGUCCACACCUCAACUCUUGCAUCUGUGCGUCUGAGUAACAUAUUGAAUCAAUCAAAACUUUCAACAACGGAUCUCUUGGUUCCAGCAUCGAUGAAGAACGCAGC
RNAcentral lists this unclassified non-coding RNA (233 nucleotides) under uncultured fungus. RNAcentral's name for it is "sequence contains ITS1, 5.8S rRNA gene". The stretch from base 185 to 233 matches the Rfam family "5.8S ribosomal RNA", at positions 1 to 49 of the family's 154-position model. The record is from RNAcentral. Lineage: Eukaryota; Fungi.